This is a non-coding RNA of Cinara cedri, 205 nucleotides long. NCBI's taxonomy places the organism in Eukaryota, Metazoa, Arthropoda, Insecta, Hemiptera, Aphididae. The record is from the annotation of a GenBank genome assembly.
GGUAAACGUUUUUUUUUCUACAAUGGUUUUUAAGUACACAAAAGCGUUAAUCGAUUCUUUGGUAAAAAACAAUACACUUACACACAUACACAAGCGUACACUCACACUCACGUACACACGAAUAGUGCCGAGUGGUAAAGUGCCGAAGCGUUAUCAUUUUAAUAAUCAAUUCUUUUGUAAUAGUUAAAAGUUAACGAAUACACUU